AUUGUACGAAUUAAAAAUAAUCGAGGUAGAAUAUAUAUAUAUAUAUAUAUAGAGAGAGAGAGAGAGAGAGAGAGAGAGAGCCAGGCUGGUAUACUAUCGGUAGUACGGACGUCUUCGUGCUACCAAGUUGUUUUCGAUGAUGUCGUUUCCAAAUCGACGAUUGACUCCAUUAGACUUGAUCUACACUAUUGAAAGUAUUUGAAAAUUAAAUUUCAUAAUUUUUCGAUAUCAUUUAUCUAUCAAAUGAGUAAUUUAAAAAUGAACGGCUGAAAAUAAAAAUUUCAUAAAAAAUAAUGAUAAAAGACUUGAAUUUAAGAUCAGAGGUAUUGACCUUAUUCUAAAUAGUGAAAAAAAUU
Molecule: long non-coding RNA, 356 nt
Filed under: Ananas comosus (pineapple)
Lineage: Eukaryota; Viridiplantae; Streptophyta; Magnoliopsida; Poales; Bromeliaceae
Description: long non-coding RNA (ACOM_LNC030836)
Source: RNAcentral